This is a small nucleolar RNA of Rattus norvegicus (Norway rat), 143 nucleotides long. Ensembl annotates it as small nucleolar RNA SNORA48. The record is from Ensembl. NCBI's taxonomy places the organism in Eukaryota, Metazoa, Chordata, Mammalia, Rodentia, Muridae.
ACCCCCUGGCAAUGGGCAAAGAGACCCCUUGUUAAUGGAGUUGUUCUUACAUCAGUCAGGGGCAGAGCAGACACAGGCCUUUGUUCAUCCUAGCUUGAUGCCUGGCUUGGUGGCCAAAGCUGUUUCAUGCCUAGGGCACAGCC